Molecule: ribosomal RNA, 546 nt
Filed under: uncultured bacterium
Lineage: Bacteria
Description: bacterial SSU rRNA
Rfam family: Bacterial small subunit ribosomal RNA
Source: RNAcentral
UAGGGAAUUUUUCACAAUGAGCGAAAGCUUGAUGGAGCAAUGCCGCGUGAACAAUGAAGGUCUUUAAGAUUGUAAAGUUCUUUUAUUUGGGAAGAAUGACUUUAGCAGGUAAUGGCUAGAGUUUGGCUGUACCAUUUUGAAUAAGUGACGACUAACUAUGUGCCAGCAGUCGCGGUAAUACAUAGGUCGCAAGCGUUAUCCGGAUUUAUUGGGCGUAAAGCAAGCGCAGGCGGAUUGAAAAGUCUGGUGUUAAAGGCAGCUGCUUAACAGUUGUAUGCAUUGGAAACUAUUAAUCUAGAGUGUGGUAGGGAGUUUUGGAAUUUCAUGUGGAGCGGUGAAAUGCGUAGAUAUAUGAAGGAACACCAGUGGCGAAGGCGAAAACUUAGGCCAUUACUGACGCUUAGGCUUGAAAGUGUGGGGAGCAAAUAGGAUUAGAUACCCUAGUAGUCCACACCGUAACGAUAGAUACUAGCUGUCGGGGCGAUCCCCUCGGUAGUGAAGUUAACACAUUAAGUAUCUCGCCUGGGUAGUACAUUCGCAAGAAUG